Molecule: ribosomal RNA, 254 nt
Filed under: uncultured bacterium
Lineage: Bacteria
Description: partial 16S ribosomal RNA
Rfam family: Bacterial small subunit ribosomal RNA
Source: RNAcentral
UACGUAGGGUCCGAGCGUUGUCCGGAAUUACUGGGCGUAAAGAGCUCGUAGGUGGUUUGUCGCGUUGUUCGUGAAAACUCACAGCUUAACUGUGGGCGUGCGGGCGAUACGGGCAGACUGGAGUACUGCAGGGGGAGACUGGAAUUCCUGGUGUAGCGGUGGAAUGCGCAGAUAUCAGGAGGAACACCGGUGGCGAAGGCGGGUCUCUGGGCAGUAACUGACGCUGAGGAGCGAAAGCGUGGGGAGCGAACAGG